AAAAAAAAAAAAAAAGGAGAAAUAUCUGCCAAUUAUUCCAUUGAAGAAUAAUAAAAGUGAUUUCCAAAAUAACUCGCAUCAUGCUGUGCAUAUCUUAAAAUGCAUGGCCUUAUAUGUUAUUGAUCCAAGUUCCUUCAUAUAUCUCGAAUGAUCAAUAGUUCAAGAACAGGAGGCAACCACCCUUAAAAAGCCAUAUGUGUUUUUGAACAUCAAUGAAGCAUGUUGACUCAAAAUAAACUUUCUACUUAACUAUUUUUGCAUUGAAAAUAAUUGAGCUUUGAUAUUUAGUGAUAGAACAAUAAUCAUUACUCAACCACUUACCAACAAAUUUCAGAGGCAGAAGUAAAGAUUCGAGACUACCAACAAGUUUAUAAAUAUACAAUUAGGUGUAAUUCAAGUUUCUUAACCUUGAAGAAAAUGAGAAUAGAAAAUAAAACCAACACUUUGAAUGUCUAAUGUACUUCUAGCAAAAUCUAAUUAGUCAAUUAUUUAUAAAAUGUUAUUUGCCUUCCCUUUCUCACAAUCUCCACUUCGUCAUUCUAAAUUGCAUCUUUCAUUCAUAUGUUCGCAACAACUAUCAUUAUUCAUUUUUAAAUUUCACAGAAACAAAAGGGUAUUCCAAAAAAGUGGACCUAGAAAAAACAAUGAAACUAAAGAAGA
This 660-nucleotide unclassified non-coding RNA is filed under the name Hevea brasiliensis (rubber tree). Lineage: Eukaryota; Viridiplantae; Streptophyta; Magnoliopsida; Malpighiales; Euphorbiaceae. The record is from RNAcentral.